GAUGAACGCUGGCGGCGUGCUUAACACAUGCAAGUCGAACGGUAAGACCCUCCUCGGGUGUGUAUCACGAGGGGCACGCGGGUGUAAAACACGGGCAAAACCCCCCUUUGACUGGGGUAUAACCGGGGAACACUGGAUCUAAUACAGGAUUUGAGCACCUCCGGCUUGAAGGCUGUAGGAAGCUCCCGGCGGUUGGGGAUGGACUCGCGGCUUAUCAGCUUGUUGGUGGGGUAAUGGCUUACCAAGGCUUUGAGGGGUAGCCGGCCUGAGAGGCUGACCGGCCAGAUUGGGACUGAGAUACGGCCCAGACUCCUACGGGAGGCAGCAGUGGGGAAUAUUGCACAAUGGGAGAAAGCCUGAUGCAGCAACGCCGCGUGCGGGAUGAAGGCCUUCGGGUUGUAAACCGCUUUCAGCUGGGACGAGGCGUGAGUGACGGUAAUUGGAAAAGAAGCACCGGCUAACUACGUG
Molecule: ribosomal RNA, 468 nt
Filed under: uncultured bacterium
Lineage: Bacteria
Description: partial 16S ribosomal RNA
Rfam family: Bacterial small subunit ribosomal RNA
Source: RNAcentral